CUUCCUGGGCAGAUUCAUUUGCAGUAUUAGGGCAUAAGAGAUGUGCACACAAGUCUGCUACUUUGGAGUCAACACUUUUGGCUCUUUGCUGAAAUAAGUUACCCAGCAAACAUCAUAACCACUCUAAUUUCUACAACUGUUAACAUUUCAGAAGUGAUGGCAAAGUUGCUGCCACUUCAUUGUCAAGUGGGCCUUGGUGGUGUGCCAAUAUAACCAAUGCUAUAUUUCCAUGCUCUACCCGUGAAAAUGCAAAUUACUCUUCAUGGACAAGGAAAAAUUUGAGAGUUUAGCCUUAACUCGAGAAGACCACCCAUCGUUGUGCUUCAAAGGAGCAUUAGAAGUACGGCAAAAGAAAUAAAUAAUUUCUUUGGCAAUGUUUUCAACAGCUCAUUUGCUUGAGCUGGAGUAUGGAGUCUGACA
Mauremys reevesii (Reeves's turtle) is the source of this 420-nucleotide long non-coding RNA. RefSeq lists it as uncharacterized. Lineage: Eukaryota; Metazoa; Chordata; Testudines; Geoemydidae. The transcript is spliced from 3 exons. The record is from RefSeq and is a predicted model, not a curated record.